CGGUGGGACACAUCCCCCCAACGGGAUGCAAACUAUCUGUGAGGAUAGAUCAG
Molecule: regulatory RNA element, 53 nt
Organism: Aureimonas sp. Leaf454
Lineage: Bacteria; Pseudomonadati; Pseudomonadota; Alphaproteobacteria; Hyphomicrobiales; Aurantimonadaceae
Rfam family: serC leader
About the family: This family is a putative regulatory RNA structure that is found upstream of the serC-serA operon in some alpha-proteobacteria. The final stem of the structure overlaps the ribosome binding site of the serC reading frame.
Source: Rfam